Molecule: transfer RNA, 85 nt
Filed under: Pseudothauera lacus
Lineage: Bacteria; Pseudomonadati; Pseudomonadota; Betaproteobacteria; Rhodocyclales; Zoogloeaceae
Description: Thauera sp. D20 tRNA-Leu
Rfam family: tRNA
About the family: Transfer RNA (tRNA) molecules are approximately 80 nucleotides in length. Their secondary structure includes four short double-helical elements and three loops (D, anti-codon, and T loops).
Source: RNAcentral
GCCCGGGUGAUGAAAUUGGUAACCAUAGUGGACUUAAAAUCCACCGCCGACAGGCUUACGGGUUCGAGUCCCGUCCCGGGCACCA